UUUACAUCUAGUGAAACAUAGUAGGACUUUUGGAUUUUAUUCAAAAGAUGGAUUUUAAUCCGGUGUAAAU
Molecule: transfer RNA, 70 nt
Filed under: Macoma balthica
Lineage: Eukaryota; Metazoa; Mollusca; Bivalvia; Cardiida; Tellinidae
Description: Limecola balthica tRNA-Lys
Source: RNAcentral